AGCUGUGUGCAGUGGCAGUAUCAUAGCCAAUGAGGUUUAUCUGAGGCUUGAUUAUUGCUAAUCUUGGGCUACCAUAACUGC
This 81-nucleotide small nuclear RNA is filed under the name Octodon degus (degu). RNAcentral describes it as "U4 spliceosomal RNA (ENSODEG00000022960.1)". The stretch from base 1 to 63 matches the Rfam family "U4 spliceosomal RNA". From Rfam's summary of the family: U4 small nuclear RNA (U4 snRNA) is a component of the major U2-dependent spliceosome. The structure of U4 snRNA from yeast and human has been reported. The record is from RNAcentral. Lineage: Eukaryota; Metazoa; Chordata; Mammalia; Rodentia; Octodontidae.